AGUGAACGCUGGCGGUAGGCCUAACACAUGCAAGUCGAACGGCAGCACAGUAAGAGCUUGCUCUUACGGGUGGCGAGUGGCGGACGGGUGACGAAUACAUCGGAAUCUACUUUUUCGUGGGGGAUAACGUAGGGAAACUUACGCUAAUACCGCAUACGACCUACGGGUGAAAGCAGGGGAUCUUCGGACCUUGCGCGAUUGAAUGAGCCGAUGUCGGAUUAGCUAGUUGGCGGGGUAAAGGCCCACCAAGGCGACGAUCCGUAGCUGGUCUGAGAGGAUGAUCAGCCACACUGGAACUGAGACACGGUCCAGACUCCUACGGGAGGCAGCAGUGGGGAAUAUUGGACAAUGGGCGCAGGCCUGAUCCAGCCAUACCGCGUGGGUGAAGAAGGCCUUCGGGUUGUAAAGCCCUUUUGUUGGGAAAGAAAAGCAGCAGGUUAAUACCCCGCUGUCCUGACGGUACCCAAAGAAUAAGCACCGGCUAACUUCGUG
This 492-nucleotide ribosomal RNA is filed under the name uncultured bacterium. RNAcentral describes it as "partial 16S ribosomal RNA". It matches the Rfam family "Bacterial small subunit ribosomal RNA", at positions 29 to 507 of the family's 1533-position model. The record is from RNAcentral.